CCUACGGGUGGCAGCAGUGGGGAAUAUUGCGCAAUGGGCGAAAGCCUGACGCAGCGACGCCGCGUGAGGGAUGAAGGUCUUCGGAUCGUAAACCUCUGUCAGCAGGGAAGAACGGUCACUGUGCUAAUCAGCAGUGAAUUGACGGUACCUGAAGAAGAAGCCCCGGCUAACUACGUGCCAGCAGCCGCGGGAAUACGUAGGGGGCAAGCGUUAUCCGGAUUUACUGGGUGUAAAGGGGGCGCAGACGGCGAUGCAAGCCAGGAGUGAAAGCCCGGGGCCCAACCCCGGGACUGAUCUUGGAACUGCGUGGCUGGAGUGCAGGAGGGGCAGGCGGAAUUCCUGGUGUAGCGGUGAAAUGCGUAGAUAUCAGGAGGAACACCGGUGGCGAAGGCGGCCUGCUGGACUGCAACUGACGUUGAGGCCCGAAAGCGUGGGGAGCAAACAGGAUUAGAUACCCCUGUAGUC
RNAcentral lists this ribosomal RNA (465 nucleotides) under uncultured bacterium. Its description in RNAcentral is "partial 16S ribosomal RNA". It matches the Rfam family "Bacterial small subunit ribosomal RNA", at positions 338 to 795 of the family's 1533-position model. The record is from RNAcentral.